RNAcentral lists this transfer RNA (78 nucleotides) under Heterosigma akashiwo. It matches the Rfam family "tRNA", at positions 5 to 66 of the family's 71-position model. Rfam says of the family: Transfer RNA (tRNA) molecules are approximately 80 nucleotides in length. Their secondary structure includes four short double-helical elements and three loops (D, anti-codon, and T loops). Lineage: Eukaryota; Raphidophyceae; Chattonellales; Chattonellaceae. The record is from RNAcentral.
CCGUGGCCGAGUGGUUGAAGGCAGCGGACUCAUAAUCCGUCCUCUUUUUGAGAUCGCUGGUUCAAAUCCAGCCGGAUG